Molecule: ribosomal RNA, 298 nt
Filed under: uncultured bacterium
Lineage: Bacteria
Description: partial 16S ribosomal RNA
Rfam family: Bacterial small subunit ribosomal RNA
Source: RNAcentral
AUUUCCCUACGGGGGGCAGCAGUGGGGAAUAUUGGGCAAUGGGCGCAAGCCUGACCCAGCAACGCCGCGUGAAGGAAGAAGGCUUUCGGGUUGUAAACUUCUUUUGACAGGGAAGAGCAGAAGACGGUACCUGUCGAAUAAGCCACGGCUAACUACGUGCCAGCAGCCGCGGUAAUACGUAGGUGGCAAGCGUUGUCCGGAUUUACUGGGUGUAAAGGGCGUGUAGCCGGGCUUACAAGUCAGAUGUGAAAUCCGGGGGCUAAACCCCCGCACUGCAUUUGAACCUGUAGGCCUUGAG